AACGAACGCUGGCGGCAUGCCUAACACAUGCAAGUCGAACGAGACCUUCGGGUCUAGUGGCGCACGGGUGCGUAACGCGUGGGAACCUGCCCUUAGGUUCGGAAUAACUCCCCGAAAGGGGUGCUAAUACCGGAUAAUGUCUUCGGACCAAAGAUUUAUCGCCAUUGGAUGGGCCCGCGUGGGAUUAGCUAGUUGGUAGGGGAAAAGCCUCCCAAGGCGACGCUCCAUAGCUGGUCUGAGAGGAUGAUCCGCCACACUGGGACUGAGACACGGCCCAGACUCCUACGCGAGGCCGCAGUGGGGAAUAUUGGACAAUGGGCGCAAGCCUGAUCCCGCCAUGCCGCGUGAGUGCUUAAGGCCUUAGAGUUGUAAAGCUCUUUUACCCGGGAUGAUAAUGACAGUACCGGGAGAAUAAGCUCCGGCUAACUCCGUG
This 433-nucleotide ribosomal RNA is filed under the name uncultured bacterium. Its description in RNAcentral is "partial 16S ribosomal RNA". It matches the Rfam family "Bacterial small subunit ribosomal RNA", at positions 29 to 507 of the family's 1533-position model. The record is from RNAcentral.